RNAcentral lists this transfer RNA (90 nucleotides) under Betaproteobacteria bacterium. RNAcentral's name for it is "tRNA-Ser". It matches the Rfam family "tRNA". From Rfam's summary of the family: Transfer RNA (tRNA) molecules are approximately 80 nucleotides in length. Their secondary structure includes four short double-helical elements and three loops (D, anti-codon, and T loops). The record is from RNAcentral. Lineage: Bacteria; Pseudomonadati; Pseudomonadota; Betaproteobacteria. RNAcentral also lists the same sequence under 2 other names.
GGAUGGGUGGCAGAGCGGUUGAAUGCACCGGACUUGAAAUCCGGCAAUCGUGCAAGCGAUUCGUGGGUUCGAAUCCCACCCCAUCCGCCA